RNAcentral lists this ribosomal RNA (515 nucleotides) under uncultured bacterium. RNAcentral describes it as "bacterial SSU rRNA". It matches the Rfam family "Bacterial small subunit ribosomal RNA", at positions 14 to 518 of the family's 1533-position model. The record is from RNAcentral.
CGAUUCUGGCUCAGAACGAACGCUGGCGGCGCGUCUUAAGCAUGCAAGUCGAACGGCAAGAGGUAGCAAUACCUCCUAGAGUGGCGGACUGGUGAGUAACACGUGGGUGACAUACCCUUCAGAUGGGGAUAGCUAUUAGAAAUAGUAGAUAAUACCGAAUACGAGCACAGGGGUUAGAGAUCUGUGAGGAAAGGAGCUAAGGCUCCGCUGAAGGAAUGGCCUGCGGCCCAUUAGCUAGUUGGUGAGGUAAGAGCCCACCAAGGCGAUGAUGGGUAUCCGGCCUUAGAGGGUGAACGGACACAUUGGGACUGAGAUACGGCCCAGACUCCUACGGGAGGCAGCAGCUAAGAAUAUUCCGCAAUGGACGAAAGUCUGACGGAGCGACGCCGCGUGGAUGAAGAAGGCCGGAAGGUUGUAAAAUCCUUUUGAAACUGAAGAAUAAGCGUUGUAGGGAAUGACAGCGUGGUGACAGUAGGUUUUGAAUAAGCAACGGCUAAUUACGUGCCAGCCGCAGC